RNAcentral lists this unclassified non-coding RNA (396 nucleotides) under uncultured bacterium. RNAcentral describes it as "contains 16S-23S intergenic spacer region". The record is from RNAcentral.
UCCCCGUUACCGGGGCAGUCUGAAUAGAAAAAUCCAACUAUUCAUAAGGGUUGCGCUCGUUGAUGGACUUAACCAAACAUCUCACGACACGAGCUGACGACGGCCAUGCAACACCUGUCACUGCGUUCCCCCAACAACACACAAAUAUUACUUUAUGUGCUCUUGGGGCACUUUUUCCUUUCGGAAAAAUUCGCAGGAUGUCAAACCCUGGUAAGGUUCUUCGCUUAGCCUCGAAUUAAACAACACGCUCCACCGCUUGUGCGGGUCCCCGUCAAUUCCUUUGAGUUUUAAUCUUGCGACCGUACUCCCCAGGCGGGAUACUUAACGCGUUAGCUUCGUUACUGACCGGGUCGAUACGGCCAACAACUAGUAUCCAUCGUUUACAGCGUGGACUAC